CCAAGCCCCUCUGUGUAAUCAAAGGAAACCUUUAAUAAGCUUGAACUCCUGAGAGAGAGGGGGUUAUUUUUGUGUGGAGAGAAGCUCACUCCAGGGAGAUGUGUGCCUGCCUCGUGGGUGGAUGCACUCUUGGGAUGCUCCUCCUGGCCCUUUGUGCACCAGUUGUCUUCUAACUGGAAAAUGAAGAGUCAAAAAGUCCUGAGGCCUUUCUGCCCUUCUCACUGAAAGGAAAAUGAACAGCCUGGUCAUAGGAUGAAUGUUGUCUUGGGUCACCAUCAAGAUCCUGACCUGCCUAAAUGAUGUGACACAAGGAAAGAGUGGCCAAAAUUUAUUAUUUUGGUCUCAAAAGACAACGAGUAGGAAACCACUAAUUAUCAAGAAAAUAUCAAGAUUUGAACAUGAAAAAUAUGGAUCAUGCAUGCAGAGGCUCACAUCUCUCUUUGGGUGUGUACGUGGCUCUCAGUUCCUCCUGGGAUUAGUGGCAGAACUUCAAAAAACCCUGAGCCAAGACCAGAUUUUCAGAGGUCCCCAGCAUCCCCCAGUU
RNAcentral lists this long non-coding RNA (544 nucleotides) under Cyanistes caeruleus (blue tit). RNAcentral's name for it is "lncRNA (ENSCCEG00000012223.1)". Lineage: Eukaryota; Metazoa; Chordata; Aves; Passeriformes; Paridae. The record is from RNAcentral.